RNAcentral lists this ribosomal RNA (1343 nucleotides) under uncultured bacterium. Its description in RNAcentral is "16S ribosomal RNA". It matches the Rfam family "Bacterial small subunit ribosomal RNA", at positions 28 to 1378 of the family's 1533-position model. The record is from RNAcentral.
GACGAACGCUGGCGGCGUGCUUAACACAUGCAAGUCGAACGGAAAGGCCCUGCUUUUGUGGGGUGCUCGAGUGGCGAACGGGUGAGUAACACGUGAGUAACCUGCCCUUGACUUUGGGAUAACUUCAGGAAACUGGGGCUAAUACCGGAUAGGAGCUCCUGCUGCAUGGUGGGGGUUGGAAAGUUUCGGCGGUUGGGGAUGGACUCGCGGCUUAUCAGCUUGUUGGUGGGGUAGUGGCUUACCAAGGCUUUGACGGGUAGCCGGCCUGAGAGGGUGACCGGCCACAUUGGGACUGAGAUACGGCCCAGACUCCUACGGGAGGCAGCAGUGGGGAAUAUUGUACAAUGGGCGGAAGCCUGAUGCAGCAACGCCGCGUGCGGGAUGACGGCCUUCGGGUUGUAAACCGCUUUCGCCUGUGACGAAGCGUGAGUGACGGUAAUGGGUAAAGAAGCACCGGCUAACUACGUGCCAGCAGCCGCGGUGAUACGUAGGGUGCGAGCGUUGUCCGGAUUUAUUGGGCGUAAAGGGCUCGUAGGUGGUUGAUCGCGUCGGAAGUGUAAUCUUGGGGCUUAACCCUGAGCGUGCUUUCGAUACGGGUUGACUUGAGGAAGGUAGGGGAGAAUGGAAUUCCUGGUGGAGCGGUGGAAUGCGCAGAUAUCAGGAGGAACACCAGUGGCGAAGGCGGUUCUCUGGGCCUUUCCUGACGCUGAGGAGCGAAAGCGUGGGGAGCGAACAGGCUUAGAUACCCUGGUAGUCCACGCUGUAAACGGUGGGUACUAGGUGUGGGGUCCAUUCCACGGGUUCCGUGCCGUAGCUAACGCUUUAAGUACCCCGCCUGGGGAGUACGGCCGCAAGGCUAAAACUCAAAGGAAUUGACGGGGCCCCGCACAAGCGGCGGAGCAUGCGGAUUAAUUCGAUGCAACGCGUAGAACCUUACCUGGGUUUGACAUGGAUCGGGAGUGCUCAGAGAUGGGUGUGCCUCUUUUGGGGUCGGUUCACAGGUGGUGCAUGGCUGUCGUCAGCUCGUGUCGUGAGAUGUUGGGUUAAGUCCCGCAACGAGCGCAACCCUUGUUCACUGUUGCCAGCACGUUAUGGUGGGGACUCAGUGGAGACCGCCGGGGUCAACUCGGAGGAAGGUGGGGAUGACGUCAAGUCAUCAUGCCCCUUAUGUCCAGGGCUUCACGCAUGCUACAAUGGCUGGUACAGAGAGUGGCGAGCCUGUGAGGGUGAGCGAAUCUCGGAAAGCCGGUCUCAGUUCGGAUUGUGGUCUGCAACUCGACCUCAUGAAGUCGGAGUCGCUAGUAAUCGCAGAUCAGCAACGCUGCGGUGAAUACGUUCCCGGG